AGAAAAGCACCCAAGAAGCACCAUGGCGGCCACGUCUUGUUCUUCUUGCCAGAUAACUGAGUAACAUUUUCAGAAUGUCCACUGCUGCCGAGGUGCCAGCGACCUAAUUCACAGAUAUCUUGCUCUCGCCCACGACU
This is a long non-coding RNA of Seriola aureovittata, 137 nucleotides long. RefSeq lists it as uncharacterized. The record is from RefSeq and is a predicted model, not a curated record. Lineage: Eukaryota; Metazoa; Chordata; Actinopteri; Carangiformes; Carangidae. The transcript is spliced from 3 exons.